ACCAAAAUGCACAGGUUGUGAACUCGAAGAGUAGGGCGGGACACGUGGUAUCCUGUCUGAAUAUGGGGGGACCAUCCUCCAAGGCUAAAUACUCCUGACUGACCGAUAGUGAACCAGUACCGUGAGGGAAAGGCGAAAAGAACCCCGGCGAGGGGAGUGAAAAAGAACCUGAAACCGUGUACGUACAAGCAGUGGGAGCACCUUCGGGUGUGACUGCGUACCUUUUGUAUAAUGGGUCAGCGACUUAUAUUCUGUAGCAAGGUUAACCGUAUAGGGGAGCCGCAGGGAAACCGAGUCUUAACUGGGCGUUAAGUUGCAGGGUAUAGACCCGAAACCCGGUGAUCUAGCCAUGGGCAGGUUGAAGGUUGGGUAACACUAACUGGAGGACCGAACCGACUAAUGUUGAAAAAUUAGCGGAUGACUUGUGGCUGGGGGUGAAAGGCCAAUCAAACCGGGAGAUAGCUGGUUCUCCCCGAAAGCU
RNAcentral lists this ribosomal RNA (481 nucleotides) under Klebsiella pneumoniae. RNAcentral's name for it is "partial 23S ribosomal RNA". It matches the Rfam family "Bacterial large subunit ribosomal RNA", at positions 379 to 867 of the family's 2925-position model. Lineage: Bacteria; Pseudomonadati; Pseudomonadota; Gammaproteobacteria; Enterobacterales; Enterobacteriaceae. The record is from RNAcentral. RNAcentral also lists the same sequence under 1 other name.